This 270-nucleotide unclassified non-coding RNA is filed under the name Hevea brasiliensis (rubber tree). Lineage: Eukaryota; Viridiplantae; Streptophyta; Magnoliopsida; Malpighiales; Euphorbiaceae. The record is from RNAcentral.
CUAAAAGGUUUUGAUUACAAGAUGAAUCCAUAUGAGGGGGGAGGGGGAAGGUUGAUGUUUCUUGGAAACAGUUUAUGUGAUUGAAGAAUAAAGAAUAAGCCACAUUAUUGUACUUAGGAAGCUGUAUCAUUGCAGCCCUGGUUAGGUCAAUGAUUAGGAUCUCAUAUCCAACUCUUAUAGAUGUUCAUUAACAUAUUACUUGGUUUUCACCCACCAUAAACUGUUGAAAAAGUAGGGAAAAAAAUGCUUUCAUUUUCUAGUGGUUGUGGG